RNAcentral lists this ribosomal RNA (779 nucleotides) under uncultured Enterobacteriaceae bacterium. Its description in RNAcentral is "bacterial SSU rRNA". It matches the Rfam family "Bacterial small subunit ribosomal RNA", at positions 719 to 1502 of the family's 1533-position model. Lineage: Bacteria; Pseudomonadati; Pseudomonadota; Gammaproteobacteria; Enterobacterales; Enterobacteriaceae. The record is from RNAcentral.
AGGCGGCCUUCUGGACAGUACUGACGCUGAGAUGCGAAAGCGUGGGGAGCAAACAGGAUUAGAUACCUGGUAGUCACGCUGUAAACGAUGUCGAUUUGGAGUUUGUUGCCUAGAGUGAUGGGCUCCGAAGCUAACGCGAUAAAUCGACCGCUGGGGAGUACGGCCGCAAGGUUAAAACUCAAAUGAAUUGACGGGGGCCCGCACAAGCGGUGGAGCAUGUGGUUUAAUUCGAUGCAACGCGAAGAACCUUACCUGGUCUUGACAUCCAUAGAAUUCUGCAGAGAUGUGGGAGUGCCUUCGGGAACUAUGAGACAGGUGCUGCAUGGCUGUCGUCAGCUCGUGUUGUGAAAUGUUGGGUUAAGUCCCGCAACGAGCGCAACCCUUAUUCUUUGUUGCCAGCGAUUUGGUCGGGAACUCAAAGGAGACUGCCGUUGAUAAAGCGGAGGAAGGUGGGGACGACGUCAAGUCAUCAUGGCCCUUACGACCAGGGCUACACACGUGCUACAAUGGCGUAUACAAAGGGAAGCGAAGGUGCGAGCUGGAGCGGAUCUCAUAAAGUACGUCUAAGUUCGGAUUGGAGUCUGCAACUCGACUCCAUGAAGUCGGAAUCGCUAGUAAUCGUAGAUCAGAAUGCUACGGUGAAUACGUUCCCGGGCCUUGUACACACCGCCCGUCACACCAUGGGAGUGGGUUGCACCAGAAGUAGAUAGCUUAACCGCGAGGGGGGCGUUUACCACGGUGUGAUUCAUGACUGGGGUGAAGUCGUAACAAGGUAACCA